GUAGCAUAAUCAUUAGUUUUUUAAUUGGAAACUUGUAUGAAAGGUUGGACAAAGGAAAAACUGUCUUUAAGAAUAUAAAUUGAAAUUUACUUUUAAGUGAAAAGGCUUAAAUGUUUCAAAGGGACGAUAAGACCCUAUAAAGCUUUAUAUAUUAUUUAAAUUUGGUUGAGUUAAAUAUAAAGAUUAAGUUUAAUUAUUUUAUUUUGUUGGGGCGAUGUGAGUAGAAUUAAUAUUAACUACUUAAGGAGGAAUACAAUUAUAAAUGAUUUAAUAUAUAAUGAUCCUUUUUAUAAAGAUUAAAAGACUAAGUUACUUUAGGGAUAACAGCGUAAUUUUUUUUAAGAGUUCAUAUCGAAAAAAAAGUUUGCGACCUCGAUGUUGAAUUAAAAUAUCUAUAUAAUGCAGCCGUUAUAGAAGAAGGUCUGUUCGACCUUUAAAUUUUU
Molecule: ribosomal RNA, 443 nt
Filed under: Euryxanthops chiltoni
Lineage: Eukaryota; Metazoa; Arthropoda; Malacostraca; Decapoda; Xanthidae
Description: partial large subunit ribosomal RNA
Rfam family: Bacterial large subunit ribosomal RNA (bases 320-443)
Source: RNAcentral